GACGGGUGAGUAACGCGUAGGAAUCUACCCAGUAGAGGGGGAUAGCCCGAGGAAACUCGGAUUAAUACCGCAUACGCCCCACGGGGGAAAGCGGGGGUCUUCGGACCUCGCGCUAUUGGAUGAGCCUGCGUAGGAUUAGCUUGUUGGUGAGGUAAAGGCUCACCAAGGCGACGAUCCUUAGCUGGUCUGAGAGGAUGAUCAGCCACACCGGGACUGAGACACGGCCCGGACUCC
RNAcentral lists this ribosomal RNA (234 nucleotides) under uncultured bacterium. RNAcentral describes it as "partial 16S ribosomal RNA". It matches the Rfam family "Bacterial small subunit ribosomal RNA", at positions 102 to 339 of the family's 1533-position model. The record is from RNAcentral.